Molecule: small nucleolar RNA, 172 nt
Organism: Scophthalmus maximus (turbot)
Lineage: Eukaryota; Metazoa; Chordata; Actinopteri; Pleuronectiformes; Scophthalmidae
Gene: SNORA81
Product: small nucleolar RNA, H/ACA box 81
Source: Ensembl
ACUUUUGCAUUAACAGAAUUCUGCUAAAAUUGUGUGAUCCAGAUUUGAUCUGUUUUGCGCAAUAAUGCUAGCAGAGUAUUGGUGUGGAAGGAGAUCUUGUGCACUGAUGAUAUGUGGCCUCCUCUUUCUUAAUGUUCAUUGGCCUCUUUUCUCAAGAUGUAGUGCCACAAUU